GUUGAACGCUGGCGGCAGGCCUAACACAUGCAAGUCGAACGGUAGCACAGAGAGCUUGCUCUCGGGUGACGAGUGGCGGACGGGUGAGUAACGUCUGGGAAACUGCCCGAUGGAGGGGAAUAACUACUGGAAACGGUAGCUAUACCGCAUAACGUCGCAAGACCAAAGUGGGGGACCUUCGGGCCUCACACCAUCGGAUGUGCCCAGAUGGGAUUAGCUAGUAGGUGGGGUAAUGGCUCACCUAGGCGACGAUCCCUAGCUGGUCUGAGAGGAUGACCAGCCACACUGGAACUGAGACACGGUCCAGACUCCUACGGGAGGCAGCAGUGGGGAAUAUUGCACAAUGGGCGCAAGCCUGAUGCAGCCAUGCCGCGUGUAUGAAGAAGGCCUUCGGGUUGUAAAGUACUUUCAGCGGGGAGGAAGGCGGUGGAGUUAAUAACUUCACCGAUUGACGUUACCCGCAGAAGAAGCACCGGCUAACUCCGUGCCAGCCGCCGCAGUAA
RNAcentral lists this ribosomal RNA (503 nucleotides) under uncultured bacterium. Its description in RNAcentral is "partial 16S ribosomal RNA". It matches the Rfam family "Bacterial small subunit ribosomal RNA", at positions 28 to 523 of the family's 1533-position model. The record is from RNAcentral.